Molecule: unclassified non-coding RNA, 158 nt
Filed under: soil metagenome
Description: partial internal transcribed spacer 1
Source: RNAcentral
CCGAGGUUUAGCAUACUCCCAAACCCCUGCUGAACAUACCGUAUAGCGUUGCCUCGGCGCGAUCAGCCCGCGCCCCGUAAAAACGGGAGCGGCCCGCCGCAGGACCCACAAACCCUGAAUUUUAUUGUAACUUCUGAGUUUAAAAAACAAAUAAAUCA